Molecule: long non-coding RNA, 1323 nt
Organism: Choloepus didactylus (southern two-toed sloth)
Lineage: Eukaryota; Metazoa; Chordata; Mammalia; Pilosa; Megalonychidae
Exons: 4
Source: RefSeq, a predicted model, not a curated record
CCACUGAGUCGAAAAAGGAACAGAGCUAGUCCGGGGCAACCCUCCGGCUCUCCAAGUUGUUCCAGGGGGACUACUUAGCUUCCACGCCCCUCUAUGCCGCCAUCUUAGAUCCUCCAAAUCUGUGAAACUUUUAAAUCACAAGAACAUACAAGCAUACAUCCCAUGAACUGUCAGAGAGCUGGAAAUCAUUUGGCAACAUGUCUUAGUGGAAUGGGCUGAACCUCCUACAUCUUCUCUGUUCAUGAGCUCCUGAUGGUAGCUUGAGGGAAAAAGCCCUCACUCGUUAGUCCAGAGGGUCUCCACCAACCCCAUCUUGAAUCUCUUUCUGCUUAAAAUGUCUAGAGUGGUUUUGGUUGCCUGCUCUGAAUCCUAAAUACUUUCGCCUCAGGCUUUUUGUGCUUUAUCAACACUUGUGAGAGUUGUUCGUGUUGAUACUUGUAGCUCUGGCGUAUUUCCCAUAACUGCUGUGUAAUUUCCCGGCCCAUUCAUCAGUAAAACAGCCAACCAGUCAACAACCAAUCAAUGAAUCCUCAAACCAGUCAACAAACUAACAAACCAGUCAAGGAGCCAAUGAACCAGGCAACCAACUAUCAACAAACCAGUGAACUAGUCAACCAUCCAUCCAACCAACCAACCAAUGAACUAGUCAACCAACCAACCAAGGAACAAGUCAACCAACUCAUCAACCAACUAAGGAAACAGUCAACCAAUCCACCAAGGAACCACUCAACCAUCCAACCAUCCAACCAGUCAACAACCAACCAAUGAGUGGACCAAACAUUUCUUCAACCAUUCCAACAUUCUCUUUACUGAUUAUACCAGUGGUUUCUCUGAUGCAUUCUCUAGUUUUGUUCUUAAAAUACAAACUAGAUCACAUCACACACAUAUACACACAUGCACACACACACCUUAUUUCAUCUUUAAUUCAUUAAUUAUUGAAAACCCACUAUGUGCCAAGCAUUUGGGAUACGGUAAUGAAUAAAAUAAUUGCUGCCUCAAAGACUCUGCAUACUCUCUUCCCACCAUCUGAAAUGUUGUUCCCUUUUCAUAGCUCAUUCCUUCAUAUCCCUUAGGUCUCAGCCUAAAUAUUACCUACUUGGAGAAGGCUUCUUGGCUAAAUUAGGUCCCCUUUGUCAUUUUCUAGCUUGAUUGCUAAGGGUCUCCCACUUAUCCUUCUCACAAUGGGUUCCUCAAGCCCCACCCCAUUUAACUUGUCUCUUACCCGUCUCCCCACUAGAAUGUGAGCCCCAGGAAGGCAGGAAUCACACUAGUCUUUGUUCCCAGCUGACUACCCAGUACCUAAGACACUGCCUGGCACAUUGA